This 236-nucleotide ribosomal RNA is filed under the name uncultured bacterium. RNAcentral describes it as "partial 16S ribosomal RNA". It matches the Rfam family "Bacterial small subunit ribosomal RNA", at positions 524 to 758 of the family's 1533-position model. The record is from RNAcentral.
UACGUAGGGCGCGAGCGUUGUCCGGAAUUAUUGGGCGUAAAGGGCUCGUAGGCGGUUUGUCGCGUCGGGAGUGAAAACCUACAGCUUAACUGUGGGCUUGCUUUCGAUACGGGCAGACUUGAGGCAUGCAGGGGGAGAACGGAAUUCCUGGUGUAGCGGUGAAAUGCGUAGAGAUGUGGAGGAACACCAGUGGCGAAGGCGACUCUUUGGCCUAUAACUGACGCUGAGGCGCGAAA